This is a long non-coding RNA of Xiphophorus maculatus (southern platyfish), 431 nucleotides long. RefSeq lists it as uncharacterized. The record is from RefSeq and is a predicted model, not a curated record. The transcript has 3 exons. Lineage: Eukaryota; Metazoa; Chordata; Actinopteri; Cyprinodontiformes; Poeciliidae.
AAUUUGACAAGAAUACAGCUUCUUAUCUGUGAGAGUUUUCUUGCAGUUGAGAACUGGUUUUCUGACAUCUUUUAAUUUUUUGUUUUGGGUCUUCGUCCCCUGUUGUCACACAGACCUGCUCCUGGCUCUCAGCUUCAGAAGCAACUUGUAAGAUAAUUUGGGUUCCAUUUGGUUCUGGUUCAGUGUGGCAUUUUUUUCUAAUUAGCUGGAGUCAGUGUGAAGGUAUUGGUCUCCUGCUUCGGCACAAGCAUCUCUUCUUCCUGACCGAUGCAUAGUUCCUGCGCUUCAUGUUUUAUCUAUGUUCCGGUUCCGGGUCCUCCUGGACUGCACUACUGUUCCUCUCCUGAUCAUGGAAAUGUUGAUGUACCAGCUCCACCUGCUCCUCUUGUUCCUCUUGGUCCCGUUUCAUCAGAAGAGGUUCUGAUUCCUCC